This 1120-nucleotide long non-coding RNA is filed under the name Lathyrus oleraceus (garden pea). Its description in RNAcentral is "Pisum sativum (pea) long non-coding RNA (PSAT_LNC040744)". The record is from RNAcentral. Lineage: Eukaryota; Viridiplantae; Streptophyta; Magnoliopsida; Fabales; Fabaceae.
AAAAAUUUAAAAAAAAGAAAAAGAACGGGGGAUUACCUGAGAACGGGAGAAACAAACAUGUGUAGGUUCAACAAAAUGAGGAGAAGUUCUCACUGAUCUCUGCACAUACCAUCAACAACAAACUUAAAUUAAUUCAUUGAUAUAAAAAAACAAAGUAACAAAAGAAAAUAGCCUGCAUAAUGGAGGUAGUACCCUUCACCCAGCAACACUCACAACACUCACAGUACCCUCUCACUCAAACGUCCCUUAUUAUAACAACUUGUAACAUUGCACUCUCCAAUAAUAAAUUGACACGUCAUAUAUAUACUACACUCUCCACUACUCUAUGUCUACUAUAAAAUUUACAAAUAAAAUUACUUAACUAACUUCGUCUUAUUUUAAAAAGCAUAAUGUUUUUAUUUUCUUUUUUUUAAUAUAUAAAAAUCUCAUAUAUAUUUAAAUGAUUAUUGUCAAUAUAUCAUCUCUUAUAUAAAUCAUAUUAUUAUUUUCAUGUUAAUUCUAUAAAUAAAUCAUUUUUAAGAAAUCAUUUGUUACUAAUUAUUAAUCUAAUUUAAUUUUAUACAAAUUAUAAAUUAUCAGAGAAUGUUCGCAGUAUAAUUUAGAUUCAUCCAAUCACAAAAUAAUAAGAUGUAGAAAAAUUGUUUUUUCGUGUAUAUAUAUAUACGAAGUUAUUUGCUACUUACGUUAUGUUUAGUAGCAAUGAACUUGAUGAUUAGUAAUGAAUUUGUUUCAUUUUGUGCAUUCUUCUGUGUUUGAGUUUGAUAUAUAUAAAAAUCAAAUAAAAAAAUUUAAAAAAAGAAAAAGAACGGGGGAUUACCUGAGAACGGGAGAAACAAACAGUGUGUAGGUUCAACAAAAUGAGGAGAAGUUCUCACUGAUCUCUGCACAUACCAUCAACAACAAACUUAAAUUAAUUCAUUGAUAUAAAAAACAAAGUAACAAAAGAAAUAGCCUGCAUAAUGGAGUAGUACCCUUUCACCCAGCAACACUCACAACACUCACAGUACCCUCUCACUCAAACGUCCCUUAUUAUAACAACUUGUAACAUUGCACUCUUCCAAUAAUAAAUUGACACGUCAUUAUAUACUACACUCUCCACUACUCUAUUGUCUACUAUAAA